CUAAGAAUCUUCCGCAAUGGGCGAAAGCCUGACGGAGCGACGCCGCGUGGACGAUGAAGGCCGAAAGGUUGUAAAGUCCUUUUCUCUGUGAAGAAUAAGUGGGGGAGGAAAUGCCCCUAUGAUGACGUUAGCAGAGGAAUAAGCCCCGGCUAAUUACGUGCCAGCAGCCGCGGUAAUACGUAAGGGGCGAGCGUUGUUCGGAAUUAUUGGGUGUAAAGGGUGCGUAGGCGGUUUGACAAGUCUGGUGUUGAAGGCAACGGCUUAACCGUUGUUUGGCGCUGGAAACUGUUGGACUUGAGUUUAGGAGGGGGAGCUGGAAUUCCAGGUGUAGGGGUGAAAUCUGUAGAUAUCUGGAAGAACACCGGUGGCGAAGGCGAGCUCCUGGCCAUAGACUGACGCU
RNAcentral lists this ribosomal RNA (400 nucleotides) under uncultured bacterium. RNAcentral's name for it is "bacterial SSU rRNA". It matches the Rfam family "Bacterial small subunit ribosomal RNA", at positions 355 to 747 of the family's 1533-position model. The record is from RNAcentral.